This 1525-nucleotide ribosomal RNA is filed under the name Candidatus Kaiserbacteria bacterium GW2011_GWA1_50_28. Lineage: Bacteria; Candidatus Kaiseribacteriota. The record is from RNAcentral.
GGAGGCGAAGCUAACGCGUUAAGUUGACCGCCUGGGUAGUACGGCCGCAAGGCUAAAACUCAAAGGAAUAGACGGGGGCUUGCACAAGCGGUGGAGCGUGUGGCUUAAUUCGUCGCUAAGCGAAGAACCUUACCAGGGCUAGAAAUCCUACUGCACGCCUAUCGAAAGAUAGGAAGCCUUCGAGGGUGUAGGACAGGUGAUGCAUGGCUGUCGUCAGUUCGUGGUUUGAAUCGUUCCCUUCAGUGGGGUAACGAACGCAACCCUCGUUGCCUGUUACAAGUGUCAGGCGAGACUGCCCCCUCACGGGGGAGGAAGGUGGGGAUGACGCCAAGUCAGCAUGUCCCUCUGAUGUCCUGGGCUGCACACGCGCUACAAUCGCCGUUACAAAGGGGCGCAAUGGGGUAACCCGGAGCAAAUCCUUAAAAGCGGCGCCAGUUCGGAUUGAGGUCUGCAACUCGACCUCAUGAAGCCGGAAUCGCUAGUAAUCGCGGGUCAGCCAUACCGCGGUGAAUACGUUCUCAAGCUUUGUACUCGGGUCGCCAUGCGAUCGAGUAUGCUAGAUGGUGAAAGUCCAUCCGCGAUUCACAGAAGUUGCGAAGUGAAAUCCCAGUACACGGGCGCGAGUCCGUGUGUGAAGGGGGAAAGUAGCAGUAAGUAGUUUGAAUGUCAGUUAGUGGCGUCAAGCGGAUGCGAUUCCUCGAGUACAGGAAGAAGCAUUCUGUGAACAAAGCCGUUUGACGUGUAGUGACAUCGAAAUACUUAUACACAGUGUAUUCGGUUACCGUGGGAGAUCUCGCAAAGUCCUCGAGGUAAGAUUACCUUGAGGUAUGAGCCGCGGCUCAAAUACAAUGCGAGAAGUCAGCAGAGUUCAUAGUACCAGACGGUUAAAAUUGUGGUCUGAAAAGGAUCGCCGGCGCAAUAAAAAAUUGCAGCCGCCGUAUGGGAAGGAACAAAUUCGUAGGAAGAAAAAAUUGAAUCCGCACUAUGUUGCAGGAUUCAUCGAUGGCGAAGGAUGUUUCUCUGUCUCGAUCGGUAAACACAAGACCCUCAAACGAGGGUAUGAAGUUCGGCCGGAAUUCGAGAUAGAAGUCCGUAAGGACGAUCAAGAGGUGCUUGAGAGAAUCGUCAUGACCAUUGGAGCGGGAAGGAUAUACGACUGUUCGUACGAAAGGUACGGAUGGUUCCCACAUGCGAAGUAUAAAAUUACGAGCAUUUGGGAAAUGAAAGAGAUACUCUUUCCGUUUCUCGACCAGUAUCCCUUACAAGCGAAGAAGGCGAAGUCGUACAAGUAUUUUCGAGAGAUCGUCUUGAUGCUCUGCAAUAAGGAACAUUUGAGCGACAAAGGAUUCAAGAAAAUAUUCCGACUUCGCGCGGAACUUCGCAUGCUGGGGAAGAAGGCGAGAACCUACGGAAGCCGCGAGGGUGCGGGAAAACCGCUUGCCCCGUGGCGUUCAAAUGUUGCAAUGUAAAUUGCAGCACGAGAAAUACCGCCCGUCAAGUCAGGGAAGUUGGGAGUGCCCGAAGC